This 597-nucleotide ribosomal RNA is filed under the name Rhodotorula babjevae. RNAcentral's name for it is "LSU rRNA". It matches the Rfam family "Eukaryotic large subunit ribosomal RNA", at positions 1 to 601 of the family's 3401-position model. Lineage: Eukaryota; Fungi; Basidiomycota; Microbotryomycetes; Sporidiobolales; Sporidiobolaceae. The record is from RNAcentral.
UAGAUCUCAAAUCAGGUAGGACUACCCGCUGAACUUAAGCAUAUCAAUAAGCGGAGGAAAAGAAACUAACAAGGAUUCCCCUAGUAGCGGCGAGCGAAGCGGGAAGAGCUCAAAUUUAUAAUCUGGCACCUUCGGUGUCCGAGUUGUAAUCUCUAGAAGUGUUUUCCGCGUUGGACCGCACACAAGUCUGUUGGAAUACAGCGGCAUAGUGGUGAAACCCCCGUAUAUGGUGCGGACGCCCAGCGCUUUGUGAUACACUUUCAAUGAGUCGAGUUGUUUGGGAAUGCAGCUCAAAUUGGGUGGUAAAUUCCAUCUAAAGCUAAAUAUUGGCGAGAGACCGAUAGCGAACAAGUACCGUGAGGGAAAGAUGAAAAGCACUUUGGAAAGAGAGUUAACAGUACGUGAAAUUGUUGGAAGGGAAACGCUUGAAGUCAGACUUGCUUGCCGGAGCUUGCUUCGGUUUGCAGGCCAGCAUCAGUUUUCCGGGGUGGAUAAUGACGGUUUGAAGGUAGCAGUCUCGGCUGUGUUAUAGCUUUCCGUUGGAUACAUCCUGGGGGACUGAGGAACGCAGCGUGCUUUUUGCGAAAGACUCGUCUU